This is a long non-coding RNA of Echinops telfairi (small Madagascar hedgehog), 232 nucleotides long. RefSeq lists it as uncharacterized. NCBI's taxonomy places the organism in Eukaryota, Metazoa, Chordata, Mammalia, Afrosoricida, Tenrecidae. The record is from RefSeq and is a predicted model, not a curated record. The transcript has 2 exons.
AGGGAGGCCUUCAAUGACAAUCCUAGCUCCGUGUUCUUUCGCUCCUAUAUUUGAAAUGUCCAAAUCAAUCUAAAGUGGUGCUCGGAAAUGUUCAGACUACUUAAAUGGAUGCUUAAGAUACUAUGUAAUGAAGACAAUCCAAGAAAAUCUACUGGCCAAGUGAUGCAUCAGGAGGAUUUGUCUAACUUGAGCAUAAUGUGAGUCAUUAAUAAAGAAAAGUCAUCUCUGUUAA